This 253-nucleotide ribosomal RNA is filed under the name uncultured prokaryote. Its description in RNAcentral is "partial 16S ribosomal RNA". It matches the Rfam family "Bacterial small subunit ribosomal RNA", at positions 525 to 777 of the family's 1533-position model. The record is from RNAcentral.
ACAGAGGUCCCAAGCGUUGUUCGGAAUUACUGGGCGUAAAGGGCUCGUAGGCGGCCAACUAAGUCGGACGUGAAAUCCCUCGGCUUAACCGGGGAACUGCAUCCGAUACUGGAUGGCUUGAAUCCGGGAGAGGGAUGCAGAAUUCCAGGUGUAGCGGUGAAAUGCGUAGAUAUCUGGAGGAAUACCGGUGGCGAAGGCGGCAUCCUGGACCGGCAUUGACGCUGAUGAGCGAAAGCUAGGGGAGCAAACGGGA